AGCAGUAGCUAUAGAUAGUCGUUAAGUAGGCAAGAAGCCGAAAUAGUUAUAAGUUCAAUACCGUACAAAGGCAAGAAGCCGAAAUAAUUAUAAGUUCAAUACCGUACAAAGGCAAGAAGCCGAAAUAAAUUUAAGUUAAACGGAAAUAUUCAAAUUUAAAUAUCCGGGCGGGCGCGCCAAACAAAGGAAACGGUCACACUGACCAAUAGCCACCACAAGCCACACGCGGUAUGGCCAUGGCUAUAGGAUUAUGAAACUACAGGCGCCGGGGCCCAUACAGAUGACUCUGCGGCCGACGGCGAUCGGAGAAGGUAAGGCUUACACUUUGGAGUGAGCAAACUUCUCUGGGAGUUAACUGCGGAGUCUUUUUCGGGAUAGGGUCUAGUACCCCGUCCACCCAAUACAUUGUAGUUAGUUGUUUCCCCCCCCCUUCCCCUUCUUCCCACCCCCCUAAGGACCGGCCGUCAUCAGUGAUAUCCGACCUUUGGGAUCCCACACCCCAAGACCGACCGUCAUUAGUGACACCCGAUCUUCUGGGGACUCCACCACUCGGUUCUCCGAGGCGCU
Drosophila gunungcola (fruit fly) is the source of this 567-nucleotide long non-coding RNA. RefSeq lists it as uncharacterized. NCBI's taxonomy places the organism in Eukaryota, Metazoa, Arthropoda, Insecta, Diptera, Drosophilidae. The transcript is spliced from 2 exons. The record is from RefSeq and is a predicted model, not a curated record.